CCUACGGGUGGCAGCAGUGAGGAAUAUUGGUCAAUGGACGGAAGUCUGAACCAGCCAUGCCGCGUGCAGGAAGACGGCUCUAUGAGUUGUAAACUGCUUUUGUACAAGGGUAAACCUGAAUACGUGUAUUCAGCUGAAAGUACUGUACGAAUAAGGAUCGGCUAACUCCGUGCCAGCAGCCGCGGUAAUACGGAGGAUCCAAGCGUUAUCCGGAUUUAUUGGGUGUAAAGGGUGCGUAGGCGGAUUGAUAAGUUAGAGGUGAAAUGUCCGAGCUUAACUCGGGAACUGCCUCUAAUACUGUUGGUCUAGAGAGUAGAUGCGGUAGGCGGAAUGUAUGGUGUAGCGGUGAAAUGCUUAGAGAUCAUACAGAACACCGAUUGCGAAGGCAGCUUACCAAUCUAUAUCUGACGUUGAGGCACGAAAGCGUGGGGAGCAAACAGGAUUAGAUACCCGGGUAGUC
RNAcentral lists this ribosomal RNA (460 nucleotides) under uncultured bacterium. RNAcentral's name for it is "partial 16S ribosomal RNA". It matches the Rfam family "Bacterial small subunit ribosomal RNA", at positions 338 to 795 of the family's 1533-position model. The record is from RNAcentral.